CAGGCCAGGGGUCCCCCCGCGGACAGCUGAACCCCAAUUCUCAGCACAGAGGCUGCCCCCUCCCAUCAUGGGCAGCAUCCUGGCUUUGCCCAGAGCUUUUCCUCACGAUCUUCCUAGAAGAGAGCGAUUCCUCCCCAGAGCAGGGAGGGAACCAGGGCUUUACUUCCUCUACACAUUCGCUGUGGAGGGGCAGACAAUGCCCGUCGGGACGGCACCAUCCGAGAUCUCUGAUGGCCCCACAACCACAGACCCAAGCCCCUGGGCAGCCUGGCCUCUGCCCUCCGGGGUCGCCUGUGGCUCACACCAGUCCCGGCCCUGCCUCCGGGGUCGCCCCGUGGCUCACACCAGCCCGGCCCCUGCCCUCCGGGGUCGCCCCGUGGCUCACACCAGCCCGGCCCCUGCCCUCCGGGGUCGCCCCGUGGCUCACACCAGCCUCCCAGCCCAGAGGAGGUGUGAGCCGCAUCCUUCCCGCAGGGAGUGAGGAUGGGGAGAGACGUCCACAAACAUCCUGACGCUGAACAUGAAGGAGGCUCUUACAGUCAGGGUGAAGGACGGCUGUGCCAUGGAUGACCCGUGCGCCUCCGGCCCGUGCCCCGAGCACAGCUACUGCACGGACACCUGGGAUGGCUACUCGUGCAUCUGCGCGCCGGGUGAGAGCGGCAGGGAGGGAGCCCCCACUUAUCCAGGCCACGGCCCGCCCCCUCCUCCGCGGGUGCCCUGAGAGCCUGGCCGUGCGUGCGGAGGAGUGUGUGUGUGUGCAAAUACAAGUGUGUUAGUGUGGGGGCUAAGUGCAGCGUGGGGGGGGCGAGUGUGAGGGGUGCACACGUGCGCCCCCCAACACCUCAAAGGCCCUGCCAGGAGCACAGGCGACGGGACUGUCAGCCGUGCGGAAGGGCACGAAGGCCCCCCAUCGAUGGAGGCGGCUUCCCGUUCUUGUAGGGUACUUCGGGAGAGACUGCGUGGACGUGUGCCGCCUGAACCCCUGUGAGCACGUCUCCGCUUGUGUAACGCCAACCCAGCUCCGCGCACGGCUACCUGUGCGAAUGCGGGCAGAGCUACUACGGCCAAUACUGCGAAAACAAGUGAGACCCUUCCGGCUGCCAGGGAGCCCGGGCCGGCGGACGGCCUCUCUGACCUCAGGGAGUGUCUGGGCCGAGCGGGGACCUAGAACGGGGGCUGUCUGGGCUGAGCGGGGACCUAGAACGGGGGCUGUCUGGGCCGAGCGGGGACCUAGAACGGGGGCUGUCUGGGCCGAGCGGGGACCUAGAACGGGGGCCGUCAGCUGAGCGGGGACCUAGAACGGGGGCUGUCUGGGCUGAGCGGGGACCUAGAACGGAGACUGUCUGGGCUGAGCGGGGACCUAGAACGGGGGCUGUCUGGGCCGAGCGGGGACCUAGAACGGGGGCUGUCUGGGCCGAGCGGGGACCUAGAACGGGGGCUGUCUGGGCCGAGCGGGGACCUAGAACGGGGGCCGUCAGCUG
Molecule: long non-coding RNA, 1481 nt
Filed under: Monodelphis domestica (gray short-tailed opossum)
Lineage: Eukaryota; Metazoa; Chordata; Mammalia; Didelphimorphia; Didelphidae
Description: lncRNA (ENSMODG00000041023.1)
Source: RNAcentral